RNAcentral lists this ribosomal RNA (408 nucleotides) under Benedenia sekii. Its description in RNAcentral is "eukaryotic LSU rRNA". It matches the Rfam family "Eukaryotic large subunit ribosomal RNA", at positions 64 to 439 of the family's 3401-position model. The record is from RNAcentral. Lineage: Eukaryota; Metazoa; Platyhelminthes; Monogenea; Capsalidea; Capsalidae.
ACUAAACAGGAUUCUCUUAGUAACUGCGAGUGAAACGAGAUUAGCCCAACAUCGAAGCCUCUUUGCUUUUGUGAAGAAGGCAAUGUGAUGUUAAGGCAUUUAAAUUCACAGACUGGCUAACUUGAAGUCCAUAUUUGACUGUGGCUUAUGCGUAUGCACCCAGAGAAGGUGAAAGGCCCGUUCAGGUUGGUAUUCCGAUAUGACAGCUCUGUGUAUAUUUAUUUGUCUUGGAGUCGGAUUGCUUGAGAGUGCAGUCCAAAACUGGUGGUAAACUCCAUCUAAGGCUAAAUACCUGUACGAAUCCGAUAGUCGACAAGUACCGUGAGGGAAAGUUGAAAAGUACUCUGAAGAGAGAGUAAAUAGUACGUGAAACUACAUGGAGGUUAAACAGAUAGAGUCAAGCUGCGU